Molecule: ribosomal RNA, 2126 nt
Filed under: soil metagenome
Description: bacterial LSU rRNA
Rfam family: Bacterial large subunit ribosomal RNA
Source: RNAcentral
GGUUGGCUUAGAAGCAGCCAUCCUUUAAAGAAAGCGUAAUAGCUCACUGGUCAAGCGGUCCGGUGCCGACAAUUUAACGGGGCUUAAGCUUGUUACCGAAGCAGCGAAUGCAUCGAUUCACAUCGAUGCGUGGUAGGAGAGCAUUCCCAACGAUUUGAAGCCAGACUGAAAAGACUGGUGGAUUGUUGAGAAGAGACCCUGCCGGCAUAAGUAGCGAUAACGGAGGUGAGAACCCUCCGCGCCGAAAGUCUAAGGUUUCCUGAGAAAGGUUAAUCCGCUCAGGGUCAGGCGGUCCCUAAGGCGAGGCCGAAAGGCGUAGUCGAUGGACAUCCGGUUAAUAUUCCGGACCUCCCUUGUUUUCGUUAUACGAUGGGGUGACGCAGUAGGAUAAGCAGGCCGUUCUAUGGCUAUAACGGUCGAUGCGUGUAAGGUGUUUCUCGUAGGCAAAUCCGCGAGGAAGUUAUCACUGAGACGCAAAGCAGUACUCCGUAUGGAGGAAAGCUGCCGAUUCCACACUGCCAAGAAAAACCUCUAAGGAGAACGUAAGGGAACCGUACCUCAAACCGACACAGGUAGACGAGGAGAAUAUCCAAAGGCGCUCGUGAGAACAGUUGGUAAGGAACUCGGCAAUAUAACCCCGUAACUUCGGGAGAAGGGGUGCCUCACUAGGGUUCAUAGCCCGAAGAGGCCGCAGCGAAAUGCGCACUGCGACUGUUUAACAAAAACACAGGUCUCUGCAAAGUCGAAAACGACGUAUAGGGGCUGACGCCUGCCCGGUGCUGGAAGGUUAAAGGGAGAGGUUAGCCGCAAGGCGAAGCUUCGAACUGAAGCCCCAGUGAACGGCGGCCGUAACUAUAACGGUCCUAAGGUUAACGAUUCGCUAGCCUUAGUAAAAUCUGGCUAUAUGCUGGAAGGUCUGAGUAUCCCACGCUACGCGAAAGCAAUUUCGCGUGACAAUGCGGUGGGUGCAGAUAAUCAGCAGGAAAGGUCAGUGGAAGAAGAUCUCUACUGAAAUCCUCAGAGACUAUAUGCCAGAUUCCAACGAAAAGUUUGUUGGAAAAGAUAUAGUCCGAACUGCAUGGCGACAUGCAGAGAGUGGCAGAAAUGUCCACUCCUCUCCACGCAUCAUCGAUGAAGUUGGAAAGAGCGACCCUCAGCGGCUAAAGCCGAACGUAGGGCGGCUUCCAACGGCACGACUAGAAGUCGUGCCCUUCCCAAAACAACUGAUGGUGAGCGAGGCGUAACAAAGUUGAGCGAAAUUCCUUGUCGGGUAAGUUCCGACCUGCACGAAUGGCGUAACGAAAGUGCGACUGUCUUGCCAACUGACACGGCGAACUUGUAGUGCCGGUGAAGAUGCCGGUUGCCCGCAACUAGACGGAAAGACCCCGUGCACCUUUACUAUACCUUUACUAUGAACUAUGGCACUUGCUGCGCAGGAUAGGUGGGAGGCUUUGAUUCCAGGCUCUCGGGCUUGGAGGAGCCAACGGUGAGAUACCACCCUGCGAGAUCUGUGGUUCUAACUUACUCCCGUUACCCGGGAGAGGGACAUGGUAAGGCGGGUAGUUUGACUGGGGCGGUCGCCUCCUAAACAGUAACGGAGGCGCGCGAAGCUACGCUCAGGCUGUUUGGAAAUCAGCCGACGAGUGCAAAAGCAUAAGCGUGGUUGACUGCGAGUCCUACAAGACGAGCAGGUACGAAAGUAGGCUUUAGUGAUCCGGUGGUUCUGCAUGGAAGGGCCAUCGCUCAACGGAUAAAAGGUACGCCGGGGAUAACAGGCUGAUCGGAGCCAAGAGUUCAUAUCGACGCUCCGGUUUGGCACCUCGAUGUCGGCUCAUCGCAUCCUGGAGCUGUAGAAGGUUCCAAGGGUUAGGCUGUUCGCCUAUUAAAGCGGUACGUGAGCUGGGUUCAGAACGUCGCGAGACAGUUCGGUCCCUAUCUGUUGUGGGCGCAGGAGAUUUGAGAGGACCUGUCCUUAGUACGAGAGGACCGGGAUGGACGAACCUCUUGUGUUCGAGCUGUCAUGCCAAUGGCACCGCUCGGUAGCGAAGUUCGGUUGUGAUAACCGCUGAAGGCAUAUAAGCGGGAAGCACUCCUCAAGAUGAGAUCUCCCAACCCGUAAGGGAUAA